RNAcentral lists this long non-coding RNA (520 nucleotides) under Olea europaea (common olive). RNAcentral's name for it is "long non-coding RNA (OEUR_LNC006322)". Lineage: Eukaryota; Viridiplantae; Streptophyta; Magnoliopsida; Lamiales; Oleaceae. The record is from RNAcentral.
UAGAUUGGGGACUAAAAAUGAAACACAGAUCCCAAAACUGAAAACCAACAAAACAGCGCCCACGGUGUGUUUCUUCCCCUGGUAACUUAAAAUUUAAAAACUCUCACCAUUGCAAACGCACUAUUCUUCAUUCUCAAGAAAUUUGCUUCAAAUAAUUCAUCUGGAUUUCACCAAAUCAUGGCGCCGACAGCAGCAAUGCUCAUAUUAGGGCACUACUACAAACCAACGCCGUCACGUAUUUACAAUUGUUCAUUGUCGCCUUCUGGAUCUGUUUCUCAAGUGAAAGCGUCGAUCGCCAAGUGCUUUUCACGUUUCAGUACCGUAUUCCGACGAGAAGAGUCAGUCGCCGCUGGAAGAGUGGAAAUGAGAUUUCGAUGGGAAUGGUAGGUUAUUAUCUUUAUGAAAAUGUGUAAAAUUCUGUGUUGUUUUAUUUCGGAGUCCUCUUCUAUCCUCUGAACUUCUGAAGCUGUAUAAAGUCAAGUAUUUUAGCUAUCGAAUGUGCAGAGUUUUAACUUCCAAA